RNAcentral lists this ribosomal RNA (775 nucleotides) under uncultured Neocallimastigales. RNAcentral describes it as "partial large subunit ribosomal RNA". It matches the Rfam family "Eukaryotic large subunit ribosomal RNA", at positions 22 to 621 of the family's 3401-position model. Lineage: Eukaryota; Fungi; Neocallimastigomycota; Neocallimastigomycetes; Neocallimastigales. The record is from RNAcentral.
CAUAGCGACUAUCGUGGCAUAUCAAUAAGCGGAGGAAAAGAAACUAACUAGGAUUCCCUUAGUAACGGCGAGUGAAGCGGGAAGAGCUCAAAUUUGAAAUCUUCAAGGUUUUACCUUGACGAAUUGUAGUUUAAAGAAGUGUUUUCUGUAGUGGAGUUUGGUAAAAGUUCUUUGGAAUAGGACAUCAUAGAGGGUGAGAAUCCCGUAUUUGACCAUUAUUUUCAGCUGUGUGAUACACUUUCAAAGAGUCGGAUUGUUUGGGAAUGCAGUCCAAAAUGGGUGGUAAAUUUCAUCUAAAGCUAAAUAUUGGCGAGAGACCGAUAGCGAACAAGUACCGUGAGGGAAAGAUGAAAAGAACUUUGAAAAGAGAGUUAAACAGUACGUGAAAUUGUCAAAAGGGAAGCGUUUGACACCAGUGUUGUUUUCUCGAAAAUCAAUUAAAAAAGGCCGGAUUUUGUGUUGUAUUGACCUUAAAAGCUUUCUUCACUCUUUUCUUGUCUUUUUUAAUGCACUUUUCGUUUAACAAGUCAACAUCAGUUUCUUUUGUUGUAAAAGGGUCAUUGGAAGGUGGCUUUCUUUUCGGAGAAAGUGUUUAUAGCCUUUGAUCUCUGCAACCGGAGAGACUGAGGUCUGCAGCGUAGACUCUUCGGGGUUAGAUACAUUUGUGCUAAGCUAUAGCUUUUUAUAGACAACUUGUUGACUAUAUUUAGUCUUGUGGCUUACUCGCUUAUGCUAUUUUACCUACGCUUAGGAUGUUGAUAUGCAUGACUGAUAU